GGCUUCGUUUCAUCUUGAGACAGAAAAGAAACGAGGAAAAUAUGGCGGAUCUAUACAAAUAUUAAAAUUUGAUAUGUCCAUACUUGUCUGUCGUUUAGCGGAAUGUUCGUUCGUGACGUUUAACAAAUGCGUGGAUCACAGGUAGAUUUGAUCGAUCUACUAAGCAAAUAAUCAAUGUAACCAAAGCUAUAUUUGAUGUAGACCUAAAAUUAAUAAAGUUUAUUUAUUUGUUUACGUUCACGUUGUAAAUGUUGAUUUCUCCUAGUCCUUGUAACUUGACAGAAGCAAGCUCAUGCCAGGAAGGAGAAAGAGACGAAAAAGUAGAAAACAUUCUUUAGUUUUUACUGAAAGUCCUGUUAAUAAUCAACGACAUAUUCCUACACCAGUGUUAUGUGUUGAUAACCCAAUAACUGCUAAAAAAGUUCCUGUUGAUGGUGAUCAAACAUGGGUAUCACCCCAAUUCCGAGAUCUGCAAAGAAGCAUAAGAGGAAGCAGACAUGUGAGAAAAUACCACAGUACCAUCCUCACUCGCUCACGUCAUCACUCAAACAAAGAGAAUACCUCAGCAAUAAAUCCUAACUACAGAAACAAAUAUAACUGUUUGAAAUUUAUUGGGGAUAGAAGCGUCGACAGUGUAGAUGACAUAUCGUUUAACUCGCCAAGUCCUGUUAAGGUAAAGCGAAAAUCCACUGCUGUGCCUAAUUUCAGUCUUGAUACACCAACAAAGCAACCAAAUUCAUGGAGUUUAAAACAUUUAAAGAAAUCACGAAAAAGUUUUAAUAUUAGUUUCAAUGAAUCUUUAACUCAAAAUGUGCAAAGUUUAAAUCAACGACCUUUGAACCAUACAUUAAAUGUUUCACCUUUAACCUGUGUGCGGACUUGCAAUACAAAAGAAGGGGAACAAUGUGACAACACAUGCACUCCUACGACUCGGAGAUCAGCGAGACUUCAAGAUAAAUAUCUACAAACUUUUCAGAUAUUUAAAACUCCUCCAAAUAGAAAAGAUGGUGUGAGUAAAAUUCUAGCUUACGAUACACCAGAAUGUGAAUAUAAUCUUUCUGUGAGGGAAAGACAAUUGCGAAAGAAAAAUAAGUUAUGAUGUUUGAUCCGUGUUUGUUAUUGUCAUCGUAUGCAGGAGAGACAAGCUGUAUUUUUUAUCUUCAUGCUAUAAAGAAAAGACACUUCUCAAUGCUUGAGCGUUUAAAUUGAUUUCCUGGUUCAGAGACAUACCACACUUAUACUUGUUUAGGUUAAUGUCCAUGGAUUGUUCAGUUAGUCCGAUUGAAGAACACUAUUACAAAAUUCAAACUUGCAUAACGGUUUAAUGUGUUGUUAUUGCACACUUUAAAAACUUCAAAAUCCUAUUGGGAGGGGGGGGGGGUAUAUAUUUGUUGCCUGUCAACCACAUGUUUUCCAUAUUUUCAUCAUUUUUUAACCUAAAAAUAUUUAAUUUUGUCCAUUAAAAAUUUUGACUAUAGAAUAAAAAAAUAACAUGAUAUAAAAAUUAAGAUGUAGAAGCAGAGAAUACUUUAUAAAUUAAUCUUUUUAGUACUAGUAGUACAUCUUAAUCUUAUUAAGAAUAUUUAUUCCUAUACUGUACAUAUUGUCACAUGCUAAAUUAAGACCUAUGAAUAAAUUUGAUUUAUUUCUUUGUAAUGCAUUUAUAUAUUCACAUUAUGACAACAAGUCUGUGAUGUUAAUUCUAUUAUAUGAAUGAAAUGGUGUUGAAUGAGAUAACAUAUUAUGGAUAAAUAUUAAAUUCAAUUUAAUUCUUAUUGUCAUGACUACAUUGUGAUAUCUGUCUGUAUACAUUGUAAAGAUAUGAAUUUGUAUAUUGUAUUCUGUGAUUUAUUUUUGUAGGACUGUUUACUGCCAUAAAAGACUUCCAGUGUUUACUGUUUGUAUGUUUGUAUAUAUCUUUGAUGUAUGGAUUUAUCCUCAGAGAAAAUAUAAAGGAUAUACAAUUACAA
Molecule: long non-coding RNA, 1970 nt
Organism: Patella vulgata (common limpet)
Lineage: Eukaryota; Metazoa; Mollusca; Gastropoda; Patellidae
Exons: 3
Source: RefSeq, a predicted model, not a curated record